GUGAUCUCUGACAACUAACAUGAAGAGACAAUGAGAAUUUAUUAGCUUGUGUAUAUGGUGUUGUCUUUGUAUUUGACUGUAAUUUUUUUUUCUACCUUUUAGAUAGUGUUUAGAUAGUGAACGUGUUUUGUUAGUUGAUCUACCUGCGCAAAAAGUAAAGCAACUGUAACCUUUAACCUAUUGUGAAGCUAGGGUCAAAUAUACAUAAAGUUAUAUUAACACAGUGAGAAAAAAAGUUUUAAAUUACACUCCUGGUGCCAGAAGUAAUCCGUCUUUUAGAUGAGAUUUCACUAUAAUAAAAAUCUGUUUUGUUUCUUUAAAAAAACAACAACUCUAGAACAACCUAUACAGAGACAUGUUUUCAAGUUUUCAUUACAUGAACACAAACUACACACCUUGUCAAACUUUUUUUUUUUAAGGAUAAAGCAGGAUACGCUGUAGAAAGUCACAAUAUGUUCUUUUUUGCUGCGCUAUGUAGGUGACAGACUGCAGAGGUGUUCAUUUGGACUGCAGACCAAAACAGUGUUCAGCAACAGUAUUCUGCAAAGCAGCAGCACUAUCAAUUUUCUUCAAUUUAUGUCUCCAAUUUCCUGAGUUCAGCCUGUGCCAACACCACUGUAGAACUGACAGAUGAAGUCCAGCAUGUAAAGCCAGCAGCUUGUCUCUCUUACAGCAAUUGACACGUUUUUUUCUUUUUCUUUUUCAGAGAUAUUCAGUACAAUGAGUCGCAGUAGCACCUAUAAUGAACAGCUUCCUUUACCUGAACACAGAGUAUUUCCACUACAUUAGUUUCAUUGGCAUCAUGCGGGCAGGAGGAAAACUCACAGCAGGGCUGUGUAACAGUAUGGUGUCGACAGCACACUUCUCCACUGGGCUCUGCUUGGGGGCCUGCCUCUCUGUGUGAAGCUCCUGUGUAGGAUUAGACACUGGUGUGCAAGUCAAAUGGUUCCUAGCUAAUGGAGUCUCCACACCUGCUUGAUGUCUACAUCGGCCCUGCUUACUGUUACUCAUAGCGCUCAUAUAUCAAGCAGACAAACGAAGGAAUGCAGAGGCAUUUC
Long non-coding RNA from Astatotilapia calliptera (eastern happy), 1058 nucleotides. NCBI's taxonomy places the organism in Eukaryota, Metazoa, Chordata, Actinopteri, Cichliformes, Cichlidae. The record is from Ensembl.